This 253-nucleotide ribosomal RNA is filed under the name uncultured bacterium. RNAcentral describes it as "partial 16S ribosomal RNA". It matches the Rfam family "Bacterial small subunit ribosomal RNA", at positions 524 to 776 of the family's 1533-position model. The record is from RNAcentral.
UACGUAGGGUGCGAGCGUUGUCCGGAAUUAUUGGGCGUAAAGGGCUCGUAGGCGGUUUGUCGCGUCGGGAGUGAAAACCUUGGGCUUAACCCAGGGCUUGCUUUCGAUACGGGCAGACUAGAGGUAUGCAGGGGAGAACGGAAUUCCUGGUGUAGCGGUGAAAUUCGUAGAUAUUAGGAAGAACACCGGUGGCGAAGGCGGCCCACUGGCUCGACACUGACGCUGAGGUGCGAAAGCGUGGGGAGCAAACAGG